This 254-nucleotide ribosomal RNA is filed under the name uncultured bacterium. RNAcentral describes it as "partial 16S ribosomal RNA". It matches the Rfam family "Bacterial small subunit ribosomal RNA", at positions 524 to 776 of the family's 1533-position model. The record is from RNAcentral.
UACGAAGGGGGCUAGCGUUGCUCGGAAUCACUGGGCGUAAAGCGCACGUAGGCGGAUUUUUAAGUCAGGGGUGAAAUCCUGGAGCUCAACUCCAGAACUGCCUUUGAUACUGGGAAUCUCGAGUCCGGGAGAGGUGAGUGGAACUGCGAGUGUAGAGGUGAAAUUCGUAGAUAUUCGGAAGAACACCAGUGGCGAAGGCGACUCACUGGACAUGUAUUGACGCUGAGGUGCGAAAGCGUGGGGGAGCAAACAGG